This 335-nucleotide long non-coding RNA is filed under the name Nicotiana benthamiana. RNAcentral describes it as "long non-coding RNA (NBEN_LNC020472)". The record is from RNAcentral. Lineage: Eukaryota; Viridiplantae; Streptophyta; Magnoliopsida; Solanales; Solanaceae.
AGGGUUCGACCUUUUCAGGUCAGAUUCGAACCAAAACCUUGUUGGUUUAGGUACGAGAGAUGUUAGGGGAGUGCUUGGUAUUGAUUUGGGGUGAUUUGGUGUGAGUUGAAUCUGGGCUCGAAUCUUCAAAUGAAAAUUCAAGAAGGUUCUGUUUGAUUCGAGGUUAGGGGUUAGUGGAUUUGGCUUUAGGGUGUGAUGGGGAUUCUGAGGUGUUAACGGGGUGACCUCGGCGUCGUUGCCGCCGGGUUUCUGGUGCAAAUUGCCUAGAGGCAGCUAGGGUUGUGGGGUUCUGGUCUCUGAGGGUUUGAGAUGGGGAAGAAGAAUGAGGAGGGUAG